Molecule: long non-coding RNA, 1782 nt
Organism: Cynoglossus semilaevis (tongue sole)
Lineage: Eukaryota; Metazoa; Chordata; Actinopteri; Pleuronectiformes; Cynoglossidae
Exons: 3
Source: RefSeq, a predicted model, not a curated record
UGUAAGUGACUUUGUGUUAUAACAGUGUCCUGUGACAUGCACAAAACAAUGUGACUCUACAAGUAUGUAAUGGACAAAUUAUAUAGUCUGAAAAGCUCACAGAAGACAAAGAGGAGGAUAGAACUGUAAACAAAGUAUAAUUUUUCCUGGUAAUAUAUGUAUAACAUACAUUCAAAAACUGGUAACUGAACCAGAAUUUUACACAUAAGCAGAGGUGAUUUAUAGGUGAUUUUUGCAUCUGGUAAUAAUAACAACACCCAAAUGCAAACCAUUAUCCAGAACUUACUGAUUUUUAUUUUUAUUUACUAAUAGCAACAGCGGCAGCAACUGUGACGUAAACAUUUCAACAUUUCCCCAUAUCGUCUCCCGUCACUGCAAGAGAUUGAAAGUACGAGAUGUUCCUGAACGCACCGGAAAUAGGCUGUCAGGUCUUAAACGUAAAACCUGUGUGGACGCGCAAAUGCAAAACGUUACCACAUCAAAUAGUGAGUGCGCUCCUUUCAAUGUUUCACACAAGCGUCGGGAAAACAUCACGUGACGCUCUGACGCGCAAAUACCGGAAACUGCUAGCUCACAUCCAAAAGUUUGUUUUUCGGGUCCUUCUGAAGUCAUACUGUUCAAAUCUGUCUGAGGCAAUAGAUGGGAGUUUGUUGUACUCAAGACUGUCCUCGGGGAAAUGAUGGUGAAGAGAAGAGUGGAGCGGCACAGCGUUUCUGGAAUUGACUGUGAAAUUAAUGGGAAACACGUCAUCCCAGUGUGCUGCUUAACCAGUGUGAAAAGCAGAUUGUGACAGUGAUAACAAAGGAGGUAAUGAAAUUGAAACAGUUCUUUCUGCUGUUGUGUCAUUUUUACCCCUGAGUUCCUUAUGUUUUUGCUGGGGUAGAAUUUUGAACAUUAAUUUCAAUCAAUUAAUUACAGACCAAAUAACAUGUUAAAAAAUAUGCAGUUACUCCCACCUUUCUCAUUUCCCUAAUUUCGUGUAACAUCAGGCUAGUAGCUGUUACUGCAGCUGAGGUUUGAUUGACAGCCAGAAAGGAUAAACAGAAUAGUUUGCCCACAAUGACGGAAGACAAGAGUGCUUUGAUUAGCCUAUUUUUUUUUUUUUUUUCCAUUUUGUUUACAGAAACUUAAUAAAAAAUAAAAGCAUGAGUUCAGAAAAAGUGUACCUCAUGUAGGAAGUAUCAUCUCAGUGUUAUUCUGUUCUCUCUUUUUUAAGCAGGUUAUUCAUUUGUAUUUUUCCAGCAUUAAAAUAUUGAUAAAAACAUUUUAUGUAUAAAACUGUACAUUCCAUGUAUAGAGUUGCAGAACUAUAUUUCACCUGUUUCCAUUAAAAUGAUAUGGUUUAUACAAAUAGAUAAAUACUUCACCAGAGAAUUUUACAUUCAAAAAUAGAAAUAUGGUACAAUAAUAACACAAAGUCACUCAGUCAACUCCAUGUGGACUGAUCUUCCAAAGCCAACGAACGAGACUGUUAGUGGCAACCAUUAUAAAUUAAAAGGCUGGUAUUAGCAUUAGCAAGUGACCCCCCAGAGCUACCAUUAUAAAGCUGGUGGGUAAUUGGCCCUGAGCUGUAGUGCAGGGACACAGAGGGUCUGUCCUUGUCUGGUGGUGAUGGGGGACAGCGGAUGUUUUACCAGUCUCAUGGUCCUCAGUGGCAGAUGCAGCAUUUCAUCAUAAACCAUGUGUUAUCAGAAAGGUCAGUGGGAUGAUGCGCUCCUGUCCUCUACUGUAACCAGCUCAGCUGAAGCUGCGGUCACAUGUGUUUCUAUUGUUUCCUGCUCU